GAUGAACGCUGGCGGCGUGCUUAACACAUGCAAGUCGAACGGUGAAGCAGGAGCUUGCUCUUGUGGAUCAGUGGCGAACGGGUGAGUAACACGUGAGCAACCUGCCCCUGACUCUGGGAU
RNAcentral lists this ribosomal RNA (120 nucleotides) under uncultured bacterium. RNAcentral's name for it is "partial 16S ribosomal RNA". It matches the Rfam family "Bacterial small subunit ribosomal RNA", at positions 28 to 144 of the family's 1533-position model. The record is from RNAcentral.